This 1620-nucleotide long non-coding RNA is filed under the name Macaca fascicularis (crab-eating macaque). RNAcentral describes it as "lncRNA (ENSMFAG00000059110.1)". Lineage: Eukaryota; Metazoa; Chordata; Mammalia; Primates; Cercopithecidae. The record is from RNAcentral.
AGUGAGCUGAGAUCACGCCACUGCACUCUAGCCUGGGCGACAGAGCAAGACUCUGUCUCAAAAAAAAAAAAAAAGAAAAGAAAAGAAAAUGUAAGGAACCCAGAAAAGCCAAUCUUGAAAAAGGAUAAAGUAGUAAGACUCACACUUCCUGACUUCAAACAUUACUAAGAAAAAAAAGUGAGGCCAGGUGCAGUGGCUCAUGCAUGUAAUCCCAGCACUUUGAGAGGCUGAGGCAGGAGAAUCACAAGGUCAGGAGUUCGAGACCAGCCUGGCCAACAUAGUGAAACGUUGUCUCUACUAAAAAUAAAAAAAAAUAGCUGGGCGUGGUGGCCAGCUGCUGUAAUCCCAACUAUUUGGAAGGCUGAGGCAGGAGAAUGACUUGAACCUGGGAGGCAUAGCUUGCAGUGAGCCAAGAUUGCACCAUUGCACUCCAGCCCGGGCGACAAUGCAAGACUCUGUCUCAAAAAAAAAAAAAAGACGGCUCAGCGCGGACAGGAGGAAUCUGAGGAGCCUUGCGGGGGCCUGGGCUGUGGGCAGGGCUGGCGGGGAACAGGCAGGGGGAUGGAGGAGCAGUGGGGCCUAUGGGGGAGGGCCUGGGUGGGCUGGUGGGGCCCUUCUGUGCUGGGUUGCCGAGGAGACAGCAACAUCAUACAGGCUGAACAGCAGGACCUUCGCCACCCUUAACUCCUGGGUGAUCACUCUGGGAACAAAAUGGAUAUCCCAUCCAAGAGGGAAGUGCAGAGCGGCAGCCCUGUGCUCUCUAACGGCCCUGGAGCCUCAGCCUCAAAGACUUUACAUAAGCGUCACCUCCAGGGCCAAACUGAUCUUGAGCCCGGAUUCACAAUGGCGCCAGCUUGAGUAACAACACGCUGUGCUCAUAGUUGGAGAUCAUGGACCAAUUACUUGCUACACCAGGCUGAAUUCGGGGCUGCUUUUCUGGGAACAGAGGAAGCUGUUGCCCAGCCGGGGUCUCGGUACAGAUGGGUGCAGACGUGCUGGGCACGAGUGUGCCCAGGUGCCCCAGCCAGGUGUGUGGGCCACUGGAGAGGCUGCCACCAUCAAGAAGAGGCUCCCAGCGCCAAGAAAGGCCUGAGGCAGUCUGACCCACGCAGGGAAGUGAGGACGACUCCUCACACAUAGAGGAUGAGGGUGUCCUGCCCCGUGAGAGUGAGGAUGUGACUCCUUCAAGACUAUGCUGGGUGCCAGUGGCUCACCCAAUAAUCCCAGCACUUUGGGAGGCCGAGGCCAGAGGAUUGGUUGAGCCCAGGAGUUCAAGACUAGCCUGGGCAACAUAGCAAGACCCUGUUUCUACAAAAAAUAAAACAUUAGGCCAGGCGUGGUGCCUCACGCCUGUAAUCUCAGCACUUUGGGAGGCUGAGGCGGCCGGAUCACCUGAGGUCAGGAGAUCGAGACCAGCCUGGCAACAUGAUGAAACCCCAUCUCUACUAAAAAUUAAAAAAUUAGCUGUGCAUGGUGGCGGGUGCCUGUAAUCCCAGCUACUCGGGUGGCUGAGGCAAGAUAAUCCCUUGAACCUGGGAGGUGGAGGUUGCAGUGAGAGCACGCCACUGCACUCCAGCCUGGGCAACAAGAGCGAAACUCCAUCUCAAAAAAAAAAAAAAA